CCCUUAGAUGUUCUGGGCCGCACGCGCGCUACACUGAUGCAUUCAACGAGUUUCUUCCUGGUCCGAGAGGAAUGGGUAACCUUUUGAAAGUGCAUCGUGAUAGGGAUAGACUAUUGCAAUUAUUGGUCUUCAACUAGGAAUUCCCAGUAAGCGCGAGUCAUAAGCUCGCGUUGAUUACAUCCCUGCCCUUUGUACACACCGCCCGUCGCUACUACCGAUUGGAUGGUUUAGUGAGAUCCUCGGAUUGGUCACGGCACGGUGGCAACACUGCGUCGGUGUGCCGAGAAGACGAUCAAACUUGAUCAUCUAGAGGAAGUAAAAGUCGUAACA
This 330-nucleotide ribosomal RNA is filed under the name uncultured eukaryote. RNAcentral's name for it is "partial 18S ribosomal RNA". It matches the Rfam family "Eukaryotic small subunit ribosomal RNA", at positions 1470 to 1796 of the family's 1831-position model. The record is from RNAcentral.